CUCAAGAUGGCUGUGCCUGUCAGCUGCAUGGAGCUUCGUUCAAGUAUUUUCUGAGCCUGAUGGAUUUACAGUGAUCUUCAGUGGUCUGGGGAAUAACGCUGGUGGAACCAUGCACUGGAAUGACACACGCCCGGCACAUUUCAGGAUACUAAAAGUGGUUUUAAGGGAGGCUGUGGCUGAAUGCCUCAUGGAUUCUUACAGCUUGGAUGUCCAUGGGGGACGAAGGACUGCAGCUGGCUGAGAGGGUUGAGAUCUCUGUUUACUUAGAUCUCUGCCAACUUCCUUUGGGUCUCCCUAUGGAAUGUAAGACCCCGACUCUUCCUGGUGAAGCAUCUGAUGCACGUUCCAUCCGGCGCUCAGCUGGGCUUGAGAAUCCUGUUACACCUGGGAUUUAGGCACUUUCAAUCUGAAAAAAUACAUAUCCUUUCAGCACUCUGGACGGACUUGAGAACUGUCCUUACGUGACCUAAAGCUGGAGUAUUUUGAGAUUGGAGAAUUAAGGCCAACAGAGAUUUUGAGAAACACAUUGAAGGAUCUGUUAACACUUGAUAUACCCAAUAAAAGCAGUGGUUGUGCCAGUGCUGAUCUGUCUUGAUGUGAAUGUGAACAAUGGGAACCUGAGCUGAGCAGUUAAUGCUAGGGUGACAGAAACUGGACCUCUCCCAAGACAUGUGACAGAGUAAUACAGCAGCCAACUUCUUCGCCAAAUUAAAGUUUUACAAGAUUUAACCUGUCAUCAAGACCUGGGAUUUUGGUGAAGGACAGAAUAACGGGCUCCCAGAUUCACAAGCCCCACCAAGAGGAUCACCCCAGGAACGCUUGGAGGCUGAGGAGUUCACUGAGGCUACUGCAUCUUGAGACUCAGGAUGAAGACCCAGCUUGGGGCUGUCAAAGGUUUUUUGCAUGUCUGACACCCAUGACUCCACCUGGACCUUAUGGCUCCACCCAGAAGCAAUUCAGCCCAACAGGAGGACAGCUUCAACCCAUUACGAUUUCAUCUCUGCCCCAACCACUCAGCAGCAAGCACCUGUUACCUGUCCACCCCCACCCCUUCCCCCAAACUGCCUUUGAAAAAUCCCUAACCUAUGAGCUUUGAAUAAGAUGAGUACGAACUUCAUCGCCCACGUGGCGUGGCCGGCCUCGUGUCUAUUAAAUUCUUUUUCUACUA
Molecule: long non-coding RNA, 1168 nt
Filed under: Homo sapiens (human)
Lineage: Eukaryota; Metazoa; Chordata; Mammalia; Primates; Hominidae
Description: PVT1 splice variant 4
Rfam family: Pvt1 oncogene conserved region 5 (bases 372-501)
Source: RNAcentral